Long non-coding RNA from Salvelinus namaycush (lake trout), 262 nucleotides. RefSeq lists it as uncharacterized. NCBI's taxonomy places the organism in Eukaryota, Metazoa, Chordata, Actinopteri, Salmoniformes, Salmonidae. The record is from RefSeq and is a predicted model, not a curated record. The transcript is spliced from 3 exons.
CACAGUGAUCUGCUCAGGAACUGGACUGCGCUCCUGGAAAACACUCGUUAUAGACGUGAUGCGACGCAAGAAUUUUGUCAAGACGGAGAGGUUAGCACGGCAUGGCCAGUGUGCCAUGCUAAUUCAACAGGGACAUCGUUCGUUCUAGGUCCAAAUGAACACGGUUCUGAACAAAGGACCCUUUGGAGAACAUUCUGAUGGAAAAUCAACAAAGAUAAGGACCCAAUUUGGGAUGCUUUUUCAUAUAUCUGUCGAACUGUGC